This 253-nucleotide ribosomal RNA is filed under the name uncultured bacterium. RNAcentral describes it as "partial 16S ribosomal RNA". It matches the Rfam family "Bacterial small subunit ribosomal RNA", at positions 524 to 776 of the family's 1533-position model. The record is from RNAcentral.
UACGUAGGGGGCAAGCGUUGUCCAGAGUUACUGGGCGUAAAGCGCACGCAGGCGGUCUGUUAAGUUUGGAGUGACAGUUGGUGGCUUAACUGCCAAAGUGCUUCGAAAACUGAUCGACUUGAGGGCUUCAGAGGGACACGGAAUUCCGGGUGGAGUGGUGAAAUGCGUAGAGAUCCGGAGGAACACCGAAGGCGAAGGCAGUGUCCUGGGGAGUACCUGACGCUCAGGUGCGAAAGCCAGGGGAGCGAACGGG